ACGCACGCUGGCGGCGUGCCUAAUACAUGCAAGUAGAACGCUGAAGGAGGAGCUUGCUUCUCUGGAUGAGUUGCGAACGGGUGAGUAACGCGUAGGUAACCUGCCUGGUAGCGGGGGAUAACUAUUGGAAACGAUAGCUAAUACCGCAUAAGAGUAGAUGUUGCAUGACAUUUGCUUAAAAGGUGCAAUUGCAUCACUACCAGCUGGACCUGCGUUGUAUUAGCUAGUUGGUGGGGUAACGGCUCACCAAGGCGACGAUACAUAGCCGACCUGAGAGGGUGAUCAGCCACACUGGGACUGAGACACGGCCCAGACUCCUACGGGAGGCAGCAGUAGGGAAUCUUCGGCAAUGGACGGAAGUCUGACCGAGCAACGCCGCGUGAGUGAAGAAGGUUUUCGGAUCGUAAAGCUCUGUUGUAAGAGAAGAACGAGUGUGAGAGUGGAAAGUUCACACUGUGACGGUAGCUUACCAGAAAGGGACGGCUAACUACGUG
RNAcentral lists this ribosomal RNA (494 nucleotides) under uncultured bacterium. RNAcentral's name for it is "partial 16S ribosomal RNA". It matches the Rfam family "Bacterial small subunit ribosomal RNA", at positions 29 to 507 of the family's 1533-position model. The record is from RNAcentral.